RNAcentral lists this ribosomal RNA (604 nucleotides) under uncultured fungus. Its description in RNAcentral is "eukaryotic LSU rRNA". It matches the Rfam family "Eukaryotic large subunit ribosomal RNA", at positions 23 to 641 of the family's 3401-position model. The record is from RNAcentral. Lineage: Eukaryota; Fungi.
ACCCGCUGAACUUAAGCAUAUCAAUAAGCGGAGGAAAAGAAACCAACAGGGAUUGCCUUAGUAACUGCGAGUGAAGCGGCAAAAGCUCAAAUUUGAAAUCUGGUGCCUUCGGCGCCCGAGUUGUAAUUUGGAGAGACAUCUUCGGAGUAGACGCCGUCCUAAGUUCCUUGGAACAGGACGUUACAGAGGGUGAGAAUCCCGUGCCUGGAUGGCUGUUCUACUUCAUGUGAAGUGUCUUCGACGAGUCGAGUUGUUUGGGAAUGCAGCUCAAAAUGGGAGGUAAAUUUCUUCUAAAGCUAAAUACUGGCGAGAGACCGAUAGCGCACAAGUAGAGUGAUCGAAAGAUGAAAAGCACUUUGAAAAGAGAGUUAAAAAGUACGUGAAAUUGUUGAAAGGGAAGCGCUUGAGACCAGACUCGACCAGUGGUGAUCAGCGGUGCUUCUGUGCCGUGCACUUGCCAUUGGUUGGGCCAGCAUCGGUUUGGACGGCGGGAUAAAGACCUAAGGAAUGUGGCUCCCUCCGGGGAGUGUUAUAGCCUUGAGUGCAAUGCCGCCAGUCUGGACCGAGGACCGCGCUUCGGCUAGGAUGCUGGCGUAAUGGUCUU